This 255-nucleotide ribosomal RNA is filed under the name uncultured bacterium. RNAcentral's name for it is "partial 16S ribosomal RNA". It matches the Rfam family "Bacterial small subunit ribosomal RNA", at positions 793 to 1055 of the family's 1533-position model. The record is from RNAcentral.
GUCCACGCCGUAAACGAUGGAUACUAGCUGUUGGGAUUUAUCUCAGUGGCUAAGCGAAAGUGAUAAGUAUCCCACCUGGGGAGUACGUUCGCAAGAAUGAAACUCAAAGGAAUUGACGGGGGCCCGCACAAGCGGUGGAGCAUGUGGUUUAAUUCGAUGAUACGCGAGGAACCUUACCAAGGCUUAAAUGUAGAUUGACCGUUUUGGAAACAGAACUUUCGCAAGACAAUUUACAAGGUGCUGCAUGGUUGUCGU